AGGAUUGACAUUCUUAAAUAUCUCUCUUAUCCACAGAAAAGAUAAAGCAUAUAGUCAGAAAAUUAUGCAGGUUUCCUCAGAUUUUCAGAUCAGUCUGCAUUCCUUGGACCUGUAGAGACAUCUGUAAGGGAAGAAAAAGUUACUUUGUCACCAUUCUCAUUCCAUCCUUGGCCUUC
Molecule: small RNA, 176 nt
Filed under: Numida meleagris (helmeted guineafowl)
Lineage: Eukaryota; Metazoa; Chordata; Aves; Galliformes; Numididae
Description: TUC338 (ENSNMEG00000015220.1)
Source: RNAcentral